Molecule: ribosomal RNA, 431 nt
Filed under: uncultured bacterium
Lineage: Bacteria
Description: partial 16S ribosomal RNA
Rfam family: Bacterial small subunit ribosomal RNA
Source: RNAcentral
CCUACGGGUAGCAGCAGUGGGGAAUUUUGGACAAUGGGGGAAACCCUGAUCCAGCAAUGCCGCGUGUGUGAAGAAGGCCUUCGGGUUGUAAAGCACUUUUGUCCGGAAAGCGGUACCGGAAGAAUAAGCACCGGCUAACUACGUGCCAGCAGCCGCGGUAAUACGUAGGGUGCAAGCGUUAAUCGGAAUUACUGGGCGUAAAGCGUGCGCAGGCGGUUCGCUAAGACCGAUGUGAAAUCCCCGGGCUUAACCUGGGAACUGCAUUGGUGACUGGCGGGCUAGAGUAUGGCAGAGGGGGGUAGAAUUCCACGUGUAGCAGUGAAAUGCGUAGAGAUGUGGAGGAAUACCGAUGGCGAAGGCAGCCCCCUGGCCAUAUUGACGCUCAUGCACGAAAGCGUGGGGAGCAAACAGGAUUAGAUACCCUAGUAGUC